CUGCUUAAGGGGAUGAUACUCUAUAAUUGAAAGGAGGACAAACACACCAAAUUUGCAUGAUAUCACCAAAGAAGGGGAUCAGAAGAAAGGUCAAUGUGAUAAUGUCGCAACCUAAAAAAUGGAAUGCGAAAAAACAACCGGCGAAGAAAGACAGGAGAGUCGCCACCGUGCGUUCUUUAUCCUAAAUGAGGGAAAGGAAACGCUCGAAGUAAACCUGGAAAAAGGAAAGAAAAAGAUGGGGUCUCG
This 246-nucleotide long non-coding RNA is filed under the name Lathyrus oleraceus (garden pea). RNAcentral's name for it is "Pisum sativum (pea) long non-coding RNA (PSAT_LNC032806)". Lineage: Eukaryota; Viridiplantae; Streptophyta; Magnoliopsida; Fabales; Fabaceae. The record is from RNAcentral.